RNAcentral lists this transfer RNA (72 nucleotides) under bacterium SM23_57. Its description in RNAcentral is "tRNA-Glu". It matches the Rfam family "tRNA". Rfam says of the family: Transfer RNA (tRNA) molecules are approximately 80 nucleotides in length. Their secondary structure includes four short double-helical elements and three loops (D, anti-codon, and T loops). The record is from RNAcentral.
GGCGCCAUCGUCUAGCGGUUAGGACGCCGGCCUCUCACGCCGGUAGCAGGGGUUCGAUUCCCCUUGGCGCUA